This 463-nucleotide ribosomal RNA is filed under the name uncultured bacterium. RNAcentral's name for it is "partial 16S ribosomal RNA". It matches the Rfam family "Bacterial small subunit ribosomal RNA", at positions 28 to 507 of the family's 1533-position model. The record is from RNAcentral.
GAUGAACGCUGACAGAAUGCUUAACACAUGCAAGUCUUUGGCGAAGCUGUGCUUGCACAGCCUAGCCAAGGCGGACGGGUGAGUAACGCGUAAGGAACUUGCCCUGCAGUCAGGGAUAACAGACGGAAACGACUGAUAAGACCUGGUAAAGUCAGGCGGACUCAUGUCCAGCCUGAUGAAAAGAGAUGCUGCAGGAGAGCCUUGCGUCCUAUUAGCUUGUUGGUGGGGUAACGGCCCACCAAGGCGAUGAUAGGUAGCCGGCCUGAGAGAGUGGACGGCCACAAGGGGACUGAGAUACGGCCCUUACUCCUACGGGAGGCAGCAGUGGGGAAUAUUGGACAAUGGGGGCAACCCUGAUCCAGCAAUUCUGUGUGCACGAUGAAGGUUUUCGGAUUGUAAAGUGCUUUCAGCAGGGAAGAAAAAAAUGACGGUACCUGCAGAAGAAGCGACGGCUAAAUACGUG